UAUUGGAAGCUUGCUUCCGAUAGGCGUCGACCGGCGCACGGGUGAGUAACGCGUAUCCAACCUGCCCACCACUUGGGGAUAACCUUGCGAAAGUAAGACUAAUACCCAAUGAUAUCUCUAGAAGACAUCUGAAAGAGAUUAAAGAUUUAUCGGUGAUGGAUGGGGAUGCGUCUGAUUAGCUAGUUGGUGUGGUAACGGCAUACCAAGGCAACGAUCAGUAGGGGUUCUGAGAGGAAGGUCCCCACAUUGGAACUGAGACACGGUCCAAACUCC
Molecule: ribosomal RNA, 273 nt
Filed under: uncultured Prevotella sp.
Lineage: Bacteria; Pseudomonadati; Bacteroidota; Bacteroidia; Bacteroidales; Prevotellaceae
Description: partial 16S ribosomal RNA
Rfam family: Bacterial small subunit ribosomal RNA
Source: RNAcentral